CCUUAUCCAAACAUAGUGUUAAAGUAAAGCUAGGGUUUUUGGUGUGGCGUCUCUUCUUCGCAAAAGAUCUCUCUCAGCAAUGGCCGAAUCUGCAGCAACAACUAAUGCCUCCGAAACCCUCAUAGAAGCAGAGCCCUCCACCCAAGACAUGGACCUUGAAACCCCAAUCGCCGCCACCGAAGAACAACUCCCCGCCGCCGACUCGAAGCGUUCCAGGGAAGAUUCCGGCGAGGAUAGCGCCGGCGCCAAGAAGCUCAAGGUUGAGAAGUCCCCAGAGGAAGACCGAUUGGAUCAACUGGAAGGAACUGAGGGAGAUAAGGAAUCGGAUCGGGUCAGCGUUGGACCUAAGAGUUUCGUAUCCGGCGACGAUAGCGCCGGCGCCAAGAAGCUCAAGGUUGAGAAGUCCGCCGAGGAAGGCCGAUUGGAUCAACUGGAAGGAACUGAGGGAGAUAAGGAGUCGGAUCGGGUCAGCGUUGGACCCAAGAGUUUCGUAUCCUCGGUGGACAUGUUCGAUUACUUCUACAAGUUCCUUCAUUAUUGGGCCCCCAAUGUCAAUGUCAACAAGUUUGAGCAGAUGGUGUUGUUGGAAUUGCUUAAGAAGGGUCAUCCAGAACCAGAGAAAAAGAUUGGCAAUGGAAUCUCUGCCUUCCAAGUCCGGUUCCAUCCCCAGUUUAAAAGUCGAUGCUUCUUCAUCAUAAGAAACGAUGAAUCAGUUGAUGAUUUCAGCUUCAGAAAGUGUGUGGACCGUAUACUUCCCUUGCCAGAAAACAUGCUAGCAAAAUCUGAUGUCAACAAGGCAUUGGGAGGUGGUGGUGGAGGCCACGGAAAAAGAGGUGGUGGCGGUGGCGGAAGAGGAGGCGGGCGUGGCCGUGGCUAUGGACGCGGCCGUGGAAGAGGAGGUAAGUUGAAAAACUGAGGUGUCAUCUGUUCUACCUGUGAUGGAGAGGUUGGAUAUGUAGUAGAUGAUGAAACAUUACCAGUUGGUCCUAAUUCAUAUGCAGGUUUAAGCUGGCUGAAACAAGAAAAUGAGAUCACUCUGAUGGUAAAAAGAUGGCUGUGCCAUAAGCCAUGAAAGUAGUGUAGUUGAGUGUGUCCGGCGAUCAAUGCACAGUGAGUAUGCAUGAUGCUUCUUUUUGGGAUGAGCUUCCAGUUCAAUCACAUCCAAAUUGGAUGUCCAGUCCAGGUAUCGGAUGCUCAUCACGUUAUCAAAUUUUUUGUUUGGUUGUAAAUUAAUAGUUUAGAUGCUGUUCAUCUUCCUGCACAAUUAAUAAUAGAU
Non-coding RNA from Camellia sinensis, 1276 nucleotides. NCBI's taxonomy places the organism in Eukaryota, Viridiplantae, Streptophyta, Magnoliopsida, Ericales, Theaceae. The record is from RefSeq and is a predicted model, not a curated record.